RNAcentral lists this ribosomal RNA (1823 nucleotides) under Listeria monocytogenes. RNAcentral describes it as "bacterial LSU rRNA". It matches the Rfam family "Bacterial large subunit ribosomal RNA", at positions 1107 to 2925 of the family's 2925-position model. The record is from RNAcentral. Lineage: Bacteria; Bacillati; Bacillota; Bacilli; Caryophanales; Listeriaceae.
UAGAAGCAGCCACCAUUGAAAGAGUGCGUAAUAGCUCACUGGUCGAGUGACCCCGCGCCGAAAAUGUACCGGGGCUAAACAUAUUACCGAAACUGUGGAUGAACCUCUUUAGAGGUUCGUGGUAGGAGAGCGUUCUAAGGGCGGUGAAGUCAGACCGGAAGGACUGGUGGAGCGCUUAGAAGUGAGAAUGCCGGUAUGAGUAGCGAAAGAAGGGUGAGAAUCCCUUCCACCGAAUAUCUAAGGUUUCCUGAGGAAGGCUCGUCCGCUCAGGGUUAGUCGGGACCUAAGCCGAGGCCGAUAGGCGUAGGCGAUGGACAACAGGUAGAGAUUCCUGUACCAGUGCUAAUUGUUUAACCGAUGGGGUGACACAGAAGGAUAGGGAAUCGCACGAAUGGAAAUGUGCGUCCAAGCAGUGAGUGUGAGAAGUAGGCAAAUCCGCUUCUCGCGAAGCAUGAGCUGUGAUGGGGAAGGAAAUUAAGUACGGAAGUUCCUGAUUUCACGCUGUCAAGAAAAGCCUCUAGGAAGAGUAGUACUGCCCGUACCGCAAACCGACACAGGUAGAUGAGGAGAGAAUCCUAAGGUGAGCGAGAGAACUCUCGUUAAGGAACUCGGCAAAAUGACCCCGUAACUUCGGGAGAAGGGGUGCUCUAUUAGGGUGCAAGCCCGAGAGAGCCGCAGUGAAUAGGCCCAGGCGACUGUUUAGCAAAAACACAGGUCUCUGCAAAACCGUAAGGUGACGUAUAGGGGCUGACGCCUGCCCGGUGCUGGAAGGUUAAGAGGAGUGCUUAGCUUCGGCGAAGGUACGAAUUGAAGCCCCAGUAAACGGCGGCCGUAACUAUAACGGUCCUAAGGUAGCGAAAUUCCUUGUCGGGUAAGUUCCGACCCGCACGAAAGGCGCAACGAUCUGGGCACUGUCUCAACGAGAGACUCGGUGAAAUUAUAGUACCUGUGAAGAUGCAGGUUACCCGCGACAGGACGGAAAGACCCCGUGGAGCUUUACUGCAACCUGAUAUGGAAUGUUUGUACCGCUUGUACAGGAUAGGUAGGAGCCGAAGAGACGUGUGCGCUAGCAUACGAGGAGGCAAUGGUGGGAUACUACCCUGGCUGUAUGACCAUUCUAACCCGCCACGCUUAGCGCGUGGGGAGACAGUGUCAGGUGGGCAGUUUGACUGGGGCGGUCGCCUCCUAAAGAGUAACGGAGGCGCCCAAAGGUUCCCUCAGAAUGGAUGGAAAUCAUUCGCAGAGUGUAAAGGCACAAGGGAGCUUGACUGCGAGACUGACAAGUCGAGCAGGGACGAAAGUCGGGCUUAGUGAUCCGGUGGUUCCGCAUGGAAGGGCCAUCGCUCAACGGAUAAAAGCUACCCCGGGGAUAACAGGCUUAUCUCCCCCAAGAGUCCACAUCGACGGGGAGGUUUGGCACCUCGAUGUCGGCUCGUCGCAUCCUGGGGCUGUAGUCGGUCCCAAGGGUUGGGCUGUUCGCCCAUUAAAGCGGCACGCGAGCUGGGUUCAGAACGUCGUGAGACAGUUCGGUCCCUAUCCGUCGCGGGCGCAGGAAAUUUGAGAGGAGCUGUCCUUAGUACGAGAGGACCGGGAUGGACACACCGCUGGUGUACCAGUUGUUCCGCCAGGAGCAUCGCUGGGUAGCUAUGUGUGGCAGGGAUAAACGCUGAAAGCAUCUAAGCGUGAAGCCCCCCUCAAGAUGAGAUUUCCCAUUUCUUCGGAAAGUAAGAUCCCUGAAAGAUGAUCAGGUAGAUAGGUUUGGAGUGGAAGUGUAGCGAUACAUGGAGCGGACAAAUACUAAUCGAUCGAGGACUUAACCAAAA